CCUACGGGUGGCAGCAGUGGGGAAUAUUGCACAAUGGGGGAAACCCUGAUGCAGCGACGCCGCGUGAGUGAAGAAGUAGAUCGGUAUGUAAAGCUCUAUCAGCAGGGAAGAAAAUGACGGUACCUGAUUAAGAAGCCCCGGCUGAAUACGUGCCAGCAGCCGCGGUCAUACGGAGGGGGCACGAUUUAUCCGGAUUUACUGGGUGAAAAGGGAGCGUAAACGGCAGCACAAGUCUGGAGUGACAUGCCGGGGCUUAACCCCGGAACGUCUUGGGAAACUGUGCAGCUAGAGUGCAGGAGAGGUAAGUGGAAUGCCGAGUGUAGCGGUGAAAUGCGUAGAUAUUAGGAGGAACACCAGUGGCGAAGGCGGCUUACUGGACUGUAACUGACGUUGAGGCUCGAAAGCGUGGGGAGCAAACAGGAUUAGAUACCCGUGUAGUC
This 440-nucleotide ribosomal RNA is filed under the name uncultured bacterium. Its description in RNAcentral is "partial 16S ribosomal RNA". It matches the Rfam family "Bacterial small subunit ribosomal RNA", at positions 338 to 795 of the family's 1533-position model. The record is from RNAcentral.